Molecule: long non-coding RNA, 945 nt
Filed under: Chinchilla lanigera (long-tailed chinchilla)
Lineage: Eukaryota; Metazoa; Chordata; Mammalia; Rodentia; Chinchillidae
Description: lncRNA (ENSCLAG00000026216.1)
Source: RNAcentral
GUGGUUCCUCAUUGCUAAGGACUCAGCUGUUGCUCAAAGCCCUUUCAUCUAUUCUGGUCCUCCCUGAAACUUCAUUGGAAGACAGAAUGGAGAGACAUCAGAUAUUGCUUGACCAUGGAAGUCCUUCUUUAUGUGUGAAGGUUGGGCUGCCCAUUCUCAAAUACUGAGAAAGAAACAAGAGCCCAAGCUCAUAUUGCAAGGUAUUUCUUACGUGCGGAUCUUGUUGACUCUCACUUCCAGACACCAGAUCCUGCGCGAUUUUCUGCAUCUUCCUUCCCUCAGUGGAUCUGAAAUGGCUGUGGUUUAUGUUUGUCAAGCAUGAGACUCACCCGGCAUUCCCUUGGGCUAACCCUGCGAGAGGCUGUGGAUGGCGGAUGACUCACCUGUGAGCUGCAAUGGACAACUUCAGGGGCUCCCUUUUGGGCCAUAUGCAGCCUGUCCAUAAUGUAUCAUGAACUUGCACGUACCUAAGGUACUAAGGACAUCUAAGUGAUGUUAAUGUCAGGGCGAUGACAGUCCUCUGGUACUUACUUUUCUAAUUGUUUGAGUGGCAGCCUCCACAAAGGAGCUGAUGCUCAGUGUCUCAUUUUAUAGCAUCUCUUAUUUCUAUUCCUUCUCCAGGGGAGCUGAGUACUUUUCUAAUUGUUUGAGAAGAGACUAUACCUGAGAUCCUGAUUCAGUUGUCUCUCCACCUAUUGAAUAACCUGCUGGUAGAUGGAGAGAGAAAACUGAGGGUAGAAAGAACCCGCUCCACCUUGCCCCCCUUAGUCCCCUGCCUUGACGUGUAUGUGUGCAUACUUAUGUGCAGAUGCUUGUGUAUAUGUGCCUGCAUGUACUUCGUCUGUUUCUCAUUACCGAGUUGAGAGAGCAUUCGUGGAGAAUAUGGUCAUGGUGUUUUCCUCUAUAAAAUGAAUCUCAGAAGUUUAGGAAUGGUAAAAAUAAAAA